UGCGCAGGCGGCUUAUUAAGUCAGUGGUGAAAUCUCUCGGCUCAACCGAGAAACUGCCAUUGAAACUGAUAAGCUUGAGUAUAGUUGUAGUAGGCGGAAUAUAGCAUGUAGCGGUGAAAUGCUUAGAUAUGCUAUAGAACACCGAUCGCGAAGGCAGCUUACUAAACUAUUACUGACGCUCAUGCACGAAAGCGUGGGGAGCGAACAGGAUUAGAUACCCUGGUAGUCC
RNAcentral lists this ribosomal RNA (229 nucleotides) under uncultured bacterium. Its description in RNAcentral is "partial 16S ribosomal RNA". It matches the Rfam family "Bacterial small subunit ribosomal RNA", at positions 568 to 796 of the family's 1533-position model. The record is from RNAcentral.